UACGUAGGUGGCAAGCGUUGUCCGGAUUUAUUGGUUGAAAGGGUGCGUAGGCGGCUUGAUAAGUCAGUGGUGAAAGCCGAUCGCUUAACGAUCGAACUGCCAUUGAUACUGCCAGGCUUGAGUAUAGUUGAGGUAGGCGGAAUUGACAGUGUAGCGGUGAAAUGCAUAGAUAUUGAUCAAGAACACCAAUUGCGAAGGCAGCUUACUAAAGUAUAACUGACG
RNAcentral lists this ribosomal RNA (222 nucleotides) under uncultured bacterium. RNAcentral's name for it is "partial 16S ribosomal RNA". It matches the Rfam family "Bacterial small subunit ribosomal RNA", at positions 524 to 745 of the family's 1533-position model. The record is from RNAcentral.